UCUGACCGUAAACUAUGCCAUCUACCGAUCCGCUUGUGGAUUUUGUUCAUAGGCGGGGAGGACCCCGGAAACGAAAGUGUUUCGGCUACGGGGGAAGUAUGGUUGCAAAGCUGAAACUUAAAGGAAUUGACGGAAGGGCACCACCAGGAGUGGAGUUUGCGGCUUAAUUUGACUCAACACGGGAAAUCUCACCCGGCCAGUACAUUGUAAGGAUUGACGGACUGAUAGCUCUUUCAUGAUUCGGUGAAUGGUGGUGCAUGGCCGUUCUUAGUUCGUGGAUUGAUUUGUCUGCUUUAUUGCGAUAACGAACGAGACUUUGACUGUUAAAUAGUGCCCGUGUUCGUCCCGCACGUGGUCACUUCUUAGAGGAAUUGUUGGCUUCUAGCCUCAAGUGAUUGAGCAAUAACAGGUCUGUGAUGCCCUGAGAUGUUCGGGGCUGCACGCGUACUACAAUGGUGGUAACAGCGUGAUUGUCCUUCUCCGAAAGGAGUUGGCAAACAGUUGAGAUAGUACUGUGGCUGGAAUUGAGUGUUGAAAUUUUCGCUCGUGAACAAGGAAUUCCAAGUAAAUGUGCGUCAUCAACUCGCAUUG
RNAcentral lists this ribosomal RNA (591 nucleotides) under Nematoda sp. RGD586T5. RNAcentral's name for it is "bacterial SSU rRNA". It matches the Rfam family "Eukaryotic small subunit ribosomal RNA", at positions 1025 to 1643 of the family's 1831-position model. The record is from RNAcentral. Lineage: Eukaryota; Metazoa; Nematoda.